RNAcentral lists this ribosomal RNA (432 nucleotides) under uncultured bacterium. Its description in RNAcentral is "bacterial SSU rRNA". It matches the Rfam family "Bacterial small subunit ribosomal RNA", at positions 97 to 505 of the family's 1533-position model. The record is from RNAcentral.
GGCGAACGGGUGAGUAACGCGUAGGAAACCUGCCUUCGAGAUGGGGAUAACACUCCUAACGGGGUGCUAAUACCGAAUGACACUGCGAAGUCGCAUGGCUUUGCAGUCAAAGGUGGCCUCUGCUCGCAAGCUACCACUUGAAGAUGGUCCUGCGUCCCAUUAGCUAGUUGGUGGGGUAACGGCUCACCAAGGCUACGAUGGGUAGCCGAUCUGAGAGGAUGACCGGCCACACUGGGACUGAGAUACGGCCCAGACUCCUACGGGAGGCAGCAGUCGAGAGGCUUCGGCAAUGGGGGAAACCCUGACCGAGCGACGCCGCGUGGAGGAUGAAGGCCUUUGGGUUGUAAACUCCUGUCAUGUGGGAAGAAAUGCCACCGUUCGAAUAGGGCGGUGGUUUGACGGUACCACAAGAGGAAGCUCCGGCUAACUCCG